UACGUAGGUGGCAAGCGUUGUCCGGAUUUACUGGGCGUAAAGCGUGCGCAGGCGGUUUUGUAAGUUUGUCGUGAAAUCCCCGGGCUCAACCUGGGAAUUGCGAUGAAGACUGCAAGGCUAGAAUCUGGCAGAGGGGGGUAGAAUUCCACGUGUGAGCAGUGAAAUGCGUAGAGAUGUGGAGGAACACCGAUGGCGAAGGCAGCCUCCUGGGCCAGCACUG
This 220-nucleotide ribosomal RNA is filed under the name uncultured bacterium. RNAcentral describes it as "partial 16S ribosomal RNA". It matches the Rfam family "Bacterial small subunit ribosomal RNA", at positions 524 to 742 of the family's 1533-position model. The record is from RNAcentral.